RNAcentral lists this small RNA (2042 nucleotides) under Pongo abelii (Sumatran orangutan). Its description in RNAcentral is "processed transcript". The record is from RNAcentral. Lineage: Eukaryota; Metazoa; Chordata; Mammalia; Primates; Hominidae.
AAGGGCCCUGAAGAAUUAUUUAAACAAGAGAUGCCUCCGAGAUGUAGCUCUCCUACAAUGGGGCCACCUCCAUUGCCACAGAAAUCACUGGAAACCAGGGCUCAGAAAAAGCUCUCUUGUAGUCUAGAAGACUUGAGAAGUGAAUCUGUGGAUAAGUGUAUGGAUGGGAACCAGCCCUUCCUGGUGGUAGAACCCAAGGACAGCCCUUUCUUGGCGGAGCACAAAUAUCCCACUUUACCUGGGAAGCUUUCAGGAGCCACGCCCAAUGGAGAGGCUGCCAAAUCUCCUCCCACCGCCUGCCAGCCUGACAUCACGGGGAGCAGCCUGCUGAGGCUGAGAGACACAGAAAGUGGCUGGGAUGACACUGCUGUGGUCAAUGACCUCUCAUCCACAUCAUCGGGCACUGAAUCAGGUCCUCAGUCUCCUCUGACACCAGAUGGUAAACGGAAUCCCAAAGGCAUUAAGAAGUUCUGGGGAAAAAUCCGAAGAACUCAGUCAGGAAAUUUCAACACUGACACACUGGGGAUGGCAGAGUUUCGACGAGGUGGGCUCCGGGCAACCGCAGGGCCAAGACUCUCUAGGACCAGGGACUCCAAGGGACAGAAAAGUGACGCCAAUGCCCCCUUUGCCCAGUGGAGCACAGAGCGUGUGUGUGCAUGGCUGGAGGACUUUGGCCUGGCUCAGUAUGUGAUCUUUGCCAGGCAGUGGGUAUCUUCUGGCCACACUUUAUUGACAGCCACCCCUCAGGACAUGGAAAAGGAGCUAGGAAUUAAGCACCCACUCCACAGGAAGAAGCUUGUUUUAGCAGUGAAAGCCAUCAACACCAAACAGGAGGAGAAGUCUGCGCUGCUAGACCACAUUUGGGUGACACGGUGGCUUGAUGAUAUUGGCUUACCCCAGUACAAAGACCAGUUUCAUGAAUCUAGAGUUGACGGACGAAUGCUGCAAUACCUAACUGUGAAUGAUUUACUCUUCUUAAAAGUCACCAGCCAACUACAUCAUCUCAGCAUCAAAUGUGCCAUUCAUGUGCUGCAUGUCAACAAGUUCAACCCCCACUGCCUGCACCGGCGGCCAGCUGAUGAGAGUAACCUUUCUCCUUCAGAAGUUGUACAGUGGUCCAACCACAGGGUGAUGGAGUGGUUACGAUCUGUGGACCUGGCAGAGUAUGCACCCAAUCUUCGAGGGAGUGGAGUCCAUGGAGGCCUCAUUAUCCUGGAGCCACGCUUCACUGGGGACACCCUGGCUAUGCUUCUCAAUAUCCCCCCACAAAAGACGCUCCUUAGGCGCCACCUGACCACCAAGUUCAAUGCCUUGAUUGGUCCGGAGGCUGAACAGGAAAAGCGAGAGAAAAUGGCCUCACCAGCUUAUACACCACUGACCACCACAGCCAAAGUCCGGCCAAGGAAACUAGGAUUUUCACACUUUGGAAACAUAAGAAAAAAGAAGUUUGAUGAAUCGACGGACUACAUUUGCCCAAUGGAGCCCAGUGACGGUGUCAGUGACAGUCACAGGUUCUACAGUGGCUACCGGGGCCUCAGCCCCCUUGAUGCCCCUGAACUGGAUGGGCUGGACCAGAUGGCACCUUCGGAAGGUACCGUGACGCAGAUAGGGCUCCUCUCCCAAGACAUUCACCGCCUUACGACAAUGCUGAGCCAGGACCAGCUGCUGAAUGACUCUCACCUGCCUGCCCCCAACUCUGAUGACUGGAGAUGACUUUCUUCGUGGCUGAGAGCGUAGGGAGGCACGUGUGGGGGCCCGGAGCCUUUGCUUCUGUGGGGAGCUGGCACACAGCCCCCUCUGCAAGCCCAGUCCGGGCGGGCAGGGUGUCUCAGACAGGGUGCCGACAGGCAUGAAGCAGAGCUGUGGGACAGGUGUCCAGGGGUGGCCCCAGGGUCCAUGUGUGUCUUCAACCAUGCUGUGCUCCUCACCACAGGCUUCAUACCUUUUGUACUUUUAUACAUGGACUGCAGACCACUUUUGUGGGAGGGCAGUGAGAUAUCAGCACACCGACUCGAUGGCUCAUGCUAUUCCUGGUGACAGCC